Molecule: long non-coding RNA, 1306 nt
Organism: Salarias fasciatus (jewelled blenny)
Lineage: Eukaryota; Metazoa; Chordata; Actinopteri; Blenniiformes; Blenniidae
Exons: 3
Source: RefSeq, a predicted model, not a curated record
GUCAGACAGCGCGGCACCGCGGCCCGGUCUCCUUCACACAGCGGGGACGGUCCCACCGAGACACACCUCGGACCGAACGGGACACAGCACAGGACCGAACAGGACCCGGGACUCAGUCCACCGAGGGCGGCGCGUGCCUCCCGCUGCUGUUCAUCAGAAAGAGUCACACUGGUGAGUCCAGUUCCAGCACCCAUGGCUUUCACUGCAGCUCUAAAUAUUGGUGCUGCAGCAGCGAGCGUGGGCCAAGCCAUCGGUCAGGGUAGUCCGACACAUCGGCAGUGCCUCAUGUACAUAACGAAUGGAUGCAGCAGCUACUCGCUUUCCAACCCCAGGUGGUACAUCUACAGUGGCAGUUGUGCAUCACCCUUACCACCCAUGAUUCCCUCUAAUGCAUCGGGCAGCGCUCUGUUCAUCAAGACUCCUCACACCGCCUGUGGAUCCGUCGGCGUCAUCACCUAUGACCUCUUGCAUGACGACAGCAACCAAACGAUUGAAAAAAUUUCCAUAAUGUUCUCAAAUCCCUACGACUUUAAUGUGUAUUCAAACUGGUACGCAGUGGGAAUCUUUGAUGAGAGCAAACAGUGUGAUUACGAUCUGUAUAAUGAGAUGUAUUAUGAGGCAAGUGAAUCCUUUGUCAGAGGUCAAGCGGAUGGCAACGUGCUGGUUUACAAAGGCAAACGAGUUACCAUACAGGCAACAAUGUCAGACGCCUACCAGCCUGUGAUGAAGGUGACAGUGAAUGAGACGGACUGAAAUGAGUGAUGAGAGACAUCUUUCAAUGUCUGGAUGGUAGAAGAUUGUGGAAGAUAAUCAAAAAGAAUCAAUAAUGUUUGAAGCUGAGAUCUUUAAAGUGUGGUGGGAUGAGACUGAACCAACCUCCCAACAGCUACUAUACUAUAAGUUUUUCUAUGUUGCCUGAAACAGUGUUGUUUUGUUUUUUCCAUAAUUAGUUGUUUUGAUUUGACAGCACACAAAGGAACUUCUUCAUUUGUCAAGAUUUCACCCUGAACAUGUGAAGUUUUCAGCCACGUGCAGCAAAGCCUCACAGCAAGGCGUCAAUGACUCUGCUCUGAAACCAGACCCUCAAGGGUCAGAGACUGUGAGGUCAGUCACCUAAACUGAUUGGAUAAUCCUCCACAGAGACCGCCCUCCUCUCAUCCGCCAUUUUAGGAUUUGUAGUGCAUGUCUCAUUCCUCUCUAUCUCUCUCUAUCUCACACACACAGACACACCACACAUAUAAUUAGCUAGAAUCUGUGUGUUUUGUGUUUCUUUACCUGGUGAAUAAAUAUAAUUUUUGGACUGUCA